This 253-nucleotide ribosomal RNA is filed under the name uncultured bacterium. Its description in RNAcentral is "partial 16S ribosomal RNA". It matches the Rfam family "Bacterial small subunit ribosomal RNA", at positions 524 to 776 of the family's 1533-position model. The record is from RNAcentral.
UACGAAGGGGGCUAGCGUUGCUCGGAAUCACUGGGCGUAAAGCGCACGUAGGCGGAUCUUUAAGUCAGGGGUGAAAGCCCGGAGCUCAACUCCGGAAUUGCCUUUAAGACUGCAUCGCUAGAAUCAUGGAGAGGUGAGUGGAAUUCCGAGUGUAGAGGUGAAAUUCGUAGAUAUUCGGAAGAACACCAGUGGCGAAGGCGACUCACUGGACAUGUAUUGACGCUGAGGUGCGAAAGCGUGGGGAGCAAACAGG